This 775-nucleotide ribosomal RNA is filed under the name uncultured Neocallimastigales. RNAcentral describes it as "partial large subunit ribosomal RNA". It matches the Rfam family "Eukaryotic large subunit ribosomal RNA", at positions 22 to 645 of the family's 3401-position model. The record is from RNAcentral. Lineage: Eukaryota; Fungi; Neocallimastigomycota; Neocallimastigomycetes; Neocallimastigales.
UGUACACGCUGUGACUAGCAUAUCAAUAAGCGGAGGAAAAGAAACUAACAAGGAUUCCCCUAGUAACGGCGAGUGAAGCGGGAAGAGCUCAAAUUUGAAAUCUUAAAGGGUUUCCCUUUACGAAUUGUAGUUUAAAGAAGUGUUUUCUGUUGAGGUUUUGGUAAAAGUUCUUUGGAAUAGGACAUCAUAGAGGGUGAGAAUCCCGUAUUUGACCUUUACUUUCAACUUUGUGAUACACUUUCAAAGAGUCGGAUUGUUUGGGAAUGCAGUCCAAAAUGGGUGGUAAAUUUCAUCUAAAGCUAAAUAUUGGCGAGAGACCGAUAGCGAACAAGCACCGUGAGGGAAAGAUGAAAAGAACUUUGAAAAGAGAGUUAAACAGUACGUGAAAUUGUCAAAAGGGAAGCGUUUGACACCAGUGUUGUUUUUCUGAAAAUCAAUUAAAGAACUGUUUAUGCUAAGCUGUUUAGACUUUAUCAGCUAUCUGUUUAGUUUUGAGCUUUUCUUUAAUGCACUUUUCAGUUAACAAGUCAACAUCAAUUUCUUUUGCUGUAAAAAAGCUUGAGGAAGGUGGCUUGAGAUUCGUCUUAAGUGUUUAUAGCCUCUUGCCUAUGCAGUCGGAGAGAUUGAGGUCUGCAGCGUAGAUCCUUCGGGGCUAAAUGCAUUUGUGCUAAGUUAUAGCAUUUUAUAGACAACUUGUUGACUAUGAUUUGUCUUGUAGCUUACUCGCUUAUGUUAUUUUACCUACGCUUAGGAUGUUGAAGUCAUCGUAUCGCGC